GAACUGGUGAGUAACACGUGGGAAACCUGCCCAGAAGCGGGGGAUAACACCUGGAAACAGAUGCUAAUACCGCAUAACAACUUGGACCGCAUGGUCCGAGUUUGAAAGAUGGCUUCGGCUAUCACUUUUGGAUGGUCCCGCGGCGUAUUAGCUAGAUGGUGGGGUAACGGCUCACCAUGGCAAUGAUACGUAGCCGACCUGAGAGGGUAAUCGGCCACAUUGGGACUGAGACACGGCCCAAACUCCUACGGGAGGCAGCAGUAGGGAAUCUUCCACAAUGGACGAAAGUCUGAUGGAGCAACGCCGCGUGAGUGAAGAAGGGUUUCGGCUCGUAAAACUCUGUUGUUAAAGAAGAACAUAUCUGAGAGUAACUGUUCAGGUAUUGACGGUAUUUAACCAGAAAGCCACGGCUAACUACGUGCCAGCAGCCGCGGUAAUACGUAGGUGGCAAGCGUUGUCCGGAUUUAUUGGGCGUAAAGCGGGCGCAGGCGGUUUUUUAAGUCUGAUGUGAAAGCCUUCGGCUCAACCGAAGAAGUGCAUCGGAAACUGGGAAACUUGAGUGCAGAAGAGGACAGUGGAACUCCAUGUGUAGCGGUGAAAUGCGUAGAUAUAUGGAAGAACACCAGUGGCGAAGCGGCUGUCUGGUCUGUAACUGACGCUGAGGCUCGAAAGUAUGGGUAGCAAACAGGAUUAGAUACCCUGGUAGUCCAUACCGUAAACGAUGAAUGCUAAGUGUUGGAGGGUUUCCGCCCUUCAGUGCUGCAGCUAACGCAUUAAGCAUUCCGCCUGGGGAGUACGGCCGCAAGGCUGAAACUCAAAGGAAUUGACGGGGGCCCGCACAAGCGGUGGAGCAUGUGGUUUAAUUCGAAGCUACGCGAAGAACCUUACCAGGUCUUGACAUACUAUGCAAAUCUAAGAGAUUAGACGUUCCCUUCGGGGACAUGGAUACAGGUGGUGCAUGGUUGUCGUCAGCUCGUGUCGUGAGAUGUUGGGUUAAGUCCCGCAACGAGCGCAACCCUUAUUAUCAGUUGCCAGCAUUAAGUUGGGCACUCUGGUGAGACUGCCGGUGACAAACCGGAGGAAGGUGGGGAUGACGUCAAAUCAUCAUGCCCCUUAUGACCUGGGCUACACACGUGCUACAAU
This 1143-nucleotide ribosomal RNA is filed under the name Lactiplantibacillus plantarum. RNAcentral's name for it is "bacterial SSU rRNA". It matches the Rfam family "Bacterial small subunit ribosomal RNA", at positions 100 to 1231 of the family's 1533-position model. The record is from RNAcentral. Lineage: Bacteria; Bacillati; Bacillota; Bacilli; Lactobacillales; Lactobacillaceae.